This 743-nucleotide ribosomal RNA is filed under the name uncultured bacterium. RNAcentral's name for it is "bacterial SSU rRNA". It matches the Rfam family "Bacterial small subunit ribosomal RNA", at positions 8 to 796 of the family's 1533-position model. The record is from RNAcentral.
AGAGUUUGAUCCUGGCUCAGAGCGAACGCUGGCGGCAGGCCUAAUACAUGCAAGUCGAACGGAUCCUUCGGGAUUAGUGGCGGACGGGUGAGUAACACGUGGGAACGUGCCCUUUGGUUCGGAACAACUCAGGGAAACUUGAGCUAAUACCGAAUGUGCCCUACGGGGGGAAAGAUUUAUCGCCAUUGGAGCGGCCCGCGUCUGAUUAGCUUGUUGGUGAGGUAAAGGCUCACCAAGGCUACGAUCAGUAGCUGGUCUGAGAGGAUGAUCAGCCACACUGGGACUGAGACACGGCCCAGACUCCUACGGGAGGCAGCAGUAGGGAAUCUUGCGCAAUGGGCGAAAGCCUGACGCAGCCAUGCCGCGUGAAUGAUGAAGGUCUUAGGAUUGUAAAAUUCUUUCAGCGGGGACGAUAAUGACGGUACCCGCAGAAGAAGCCCCGGCUAACUUCGUGCCAGCAGCCGCGGUAAUACGAAGGGGGCUAGCGUUGCUCGGAAUUACUGGGCGUAAAGGGCGCGUAGGCGGACAGUUUAGUCAGAGGUAAAAGCCCAGGGCUCAACCUUGGAACUGCCUUUGAUACUGGCUGUCUUGAGUACGGGAGAGGUGUGUGGAACUCCGAGUGUAGAGGUGAAAUUCGUAGAUAUUCGGAAGAACACCAGUGGCGAAGGCGACACACUGGCCCGUUACUGACGCUGAGGCGCGAAAGCGUGGGGAGCAAACAGGAUUAGAUACCCUAGUAGUCC